UGGUCAAGCGAAUAAGCGCACAUGGUGGAUGCCUUGGCGGUCAGAGGCGAUGAAGGACGUGGUAGCCUGCGAAAAGUGUCGGGAGC
RNAcentral lists this ribosomal RNA (86 nucleotides) under Xylella fastidiosa subsp. fastidiosa. RNAcentral describes it as "partial 23S ribosomal RNA". It matches the Rfam family "Bacterial large subunit ribosomal RNA", at positions 1 to 86 of the family's 2925-position model. Lineage: Bacteria; Pseudomonadati; Pseudomonadota; Gammaproteobacteria; Lysobacterales; Lysobacteraceae. The record is from RNAcentral.